CUACGGGCGGCAGCAGUGAGGAAUUUUGCGCAAUGGGGGAAACCCUGACGCAGCAACGCCGCGUGAGUGAAGAAGGCCUUUGGGUCGUAAAGCUCUGUCAACUGGGAAGAAGUUAGAAUCUAUUAAUGGUAGAUUUUAUUGACGGUACCAGUGGAGGAAGCGCCGGCUAACUCCGUGCCAGCAGCCGCGGUAACACGGGGGGCGCAAGCGUUAUUCGGAAUUAUUGGGCGUAAAGGGCGCGCAGGCGGUCUUGUCAGUCAGGUGUGAAAGCCCGGGGCUCAACCCUGGAAGUGCACUUGAAACAGCAAGACUUGAGUACGGGAGAGGAGAGAGGAAUUCCUGGUGUAGAGGUGAAAUUCGUAGAUAUCAGGAGGAACACCGAUGGCGAAGGCAUCUCUCUGGACCGAUACUGACGCUGAGGCGCGAAGGCGUGGGUAGCGAACGGGAUUAGAUACCCCGGUAGUC
Molecule: ribosomal RNA, 465 nt
Filed under: uncultured bacterium
Lineage: Bacteria
Description: partial 16S ribosomal RNA
Rfam family: Bacterial small subunit ribosomal RNA
Source: RNAcentral